UCAGUAGUGGUUCAGCGGUAGAACGCUAGCCUGCCACGCAAGCGAUCAUGGUUCGAAUCCCGGCCAAUGCA
Angiostrongylus costaricensis is the source of this 71-nucleotide non-coding RNA. Lineage: Eukaryota; Metazoa; Nematoda; Chromadorea; Rhabditida; Metastrongylidae. The record is from Rfam.